Molecule: ribosomal RNA, 420 nt
Filed under: uncultured bacterium
Lineage: Bacteria
Description: bacterial SSU rRNA
Rfam family: Bacterial small subunit ribosomal RNA
Source: RNAcentral
GACGAACGCUGGCGGCGUGCCUAACACAUGCAAGUCGAACGCGGUUACCCCGCAAGGGGUAACUGAGUGGCGAACGGGUGAGUAACACGUGGGUGACCUACCUUCGAAUGGGGGAUAACGUCCCGAAAGGGACGCUAAUACCGCAUAGCAUCCCGUCCUUGAACGGAUGGAGAUCAAAGCCGGGGAUCGCAAGACCUGGCGUUUGAAGAGGGGCCCGCGUCCGAUUAGCUAGUUGGUGAGGUAACGCNCACCAAGGCGACGAUCGGUAACCGGCCUGAGAGGGCGGACGGUCACACUGGGACUGAGACACGGCCCAGACUCCUACGGGAGGCAGCAGUGGGGAAUUGUUCACAAUGGGCGCAAGCCUGAUGACGCAACGCCGCGUGGAGGAUGAAGGUCUUCGGAUUGUAAACUCCUGUU